CCAGACUCCUACGGGAGGCAGCAGUGAGGAAUAUUGGUCAAUGGUCGGGAGACUGAACCAGCCAAGCCGCGUGAGGGAGGAAGGUACAGAGUAUCGUAAACCUCUUUUGUCGGAGAACAAAACCCGGGACGUGUCCCGGACUGCGUGUAUCCGAAGAAAAAGCAUCGGCUAACUCCGUGCCAGCAGCCGCGGUAAUACGGAGGAUGCGAGCGUUAUCCGGAUUUAUUGGGUUUAAAGGGUGCGCAGGCGGGAGAUCAAGUCAGCGGUAAAAUGUCGGGGCUCAACCCCGGCCGGCCGUUGAAACUGGUUUUCUAGAGUUGGAGAGAAGUAUGCGGAAUGCGCGGUGUAGCGGUGAAAUGCAUAGAUAUCGCGCAGAACUCCGAUUGCGAAGGCAGCAUGCCGGCUCCACACUGACGCUGAGGCACGAAAGCGUGGGUAUCGAACAGGAUUAGAUACCCCCGUACU
RNAcentral lists this ribosomal RNA (465 nucleotides) under uncultured bacterium. RNAcentral's name for it is "bacterial SSU rRNA". It matches the Rfam family "Bacterial small subunit ribosomal RNA", at positions 331 to 794 of the family's 1533-position model. The record is from RNAcentral.